This 468-nucleotide ribosomal RNA is filed under the name uncultured bacterium. Its description in RNAcentral is "partial 16S ribosomal RNA". It matches the Rfam family "Bacterial small subunit ribosomal RNA", at positions 28 to 507 of the family's 1533-position model. The record is from RNAcentral.
GAUGAACGCUGGCGGCGUGCUUAACACAUGCAAGUCGAACGGAAAGGCCGAAGCUUGCUUCGGUACUCGAGUGGCGAACGGGUGAGUAACACGUGGGUGAUCUGCCCUGUACUUCGGGAUAAGCUUGGGAAACUGGGUCUAAUACCGGAUAUGACGAUCUCUUGGAUGGGGUUGUGGAAAGCUUUUGCGGUAUGGGAUGAGCUCGCGGCCUAUCAGCUUGUUGGUGGGGUAAUGGCCUACCAAGGCGUCGACGGGUAGCCGGCCUGAGAGGGUGUACGGCCACAUUGGGACUGGGAGACGGCCCAGACUCCUACGGGAGGCAGCAGUGGGGAAUAUUGCACAAUGGGCGCAAGCCUGAUGCAGCGACGCCGCGUGGGGGAUGACGGCCUUCGGGUUGUAAACUCCUUUCGCAAUCGACGAAGCCUUUUGGUGACGGUAGGUUGAGAAGAAGCACCGGCUAACUACGUG